Molecule: transfer RNA, 77 nt
Filed under: Clostridium sp.
Lineage: Bacteria; Bacillati; Bacillota; Clostridia; Eubacteriales; Clostridiaceae
Also listed under: 14 other names
Description: tRNA-Pro
Rfam family: tRNA
About the family: Transfer RNA (tRNA) molecules are approximately 80 nucleotides in length. Their secondary structure includes four short double-helical elements and three loops (D, anti-codon, and T loops). Further hydrogen bonds mediate the characteristic L-shaped molecular structure. tRNAs have two regions of fundamental functional importance: the anti-codon, which is responsible for specific mRNA codon recognition, and the 3' end, to which the tRNAs corresponding amino acid is attached (by aminoacyl-tRNA synthetases). tRNAs cope with the degeneracy of the genetic code in two manners: having more than one tRNA (with a specific anti-codon) for a particular amino acid; and 'wobble' base-pairing, i.e. permitting non-standard base-pairing at the 3rd anti-codon position.
Source: RNAcentral
CCGGGUGUGGCGCAGUUUGGUAGCGCGCUUGAAUGGGGUUCAAGAGGCCGCUGGUUCGACUCCAGUCACUCGGACCA